This 429-nucleotide ribosomal RNA is filed under the name Chloroflexota bacterium. RNAcentral's name for it is "Chloroflexi bacterium partial 16S ribosomal RNA". It matches the Rfam family "Bacterial small subunit ribosomal RNA", at positions 355 to 776 of the family's 1533-position model. The record is from RNAcentral. Lineage: Bacteria; Bacillati; Chloroflexota.
UGGGGAAUAUUGCACAAUGGGCGCAAGCCUGAUGCAGCCAUGCCGCGUGUAUGAAGAAGGCCUUCGGGUUGUAAAGUACUUUCAGCGGGGAGGAAGGGAGUAAAGUUAAUACCUUUGCUCAUUGACGUUACCCGCAGAAGAAGCACCGGCUAACUCCGUGCCAGCAGCCGCGGUAAUACGGAGGGUGCAAGCGUUAAUCGGAAUUACUGGGCGUAAAGCGCACGCAGGCGGUUUGUUAAGUCAGAUGUGAAAUCCCCGGGCUCAACCUGGGAACUGCAUCUGAUACUGGCAAGCUUGCGUCUCGUAGAGGUGGGUAGCAUUCCAGGUGUAGCGCUGAAAUGCGUCGAGAUCUGUAGGAAUACCGGUGUCGAAGGCGGCCCCCUGGACGAAGACUGCCGCUCCGGUGCGAAAGCGUGGGGAGCAAACAGG